AACGCACCUUGCGCUCCUUGGUAUUCCGAGGAGCAUGCCUGUUUGAGUGUCAUUAAAUUCUCAACCUUUCUGGCUUUUAUUAGUUGGUGAGGCUUGGAUAUGGGGGUUGCGGGCUUCUCAGAAGUCGGCUCUCCUUAAAUGCAUUAGCAAAACUUUUGCUGACCAUCUCUGGUGUGAUAAUUAUCUACGCCAUUGAGAAGCAGCUUUAUAUUGGGUUUCGCUUCUAACUGUCCUUUGGACAACUCUUGACAUUUUGACCUCAAAUCAGGUAGGACUACCCGCUGAACUUAA
Molecule: unclassified non-coding RNA, 291 nt
Filed under: uncultured Clitocybe
Lineage: Eukaryota; Fungi; Basidiomycota; Agaricomycetes; Agaricales; Tricholomataceae
Description: sequence contains ITS2
Rfam family: 5.8S ribosomal RNA (bases 1-52)
Source: RNAcentral